UUAUGUGUAGGUUGCAGUAUUGUACUUUCAUGAUCAAAUUCACUUGGUUGAAAGGAUGUGGCUUAUUAACUAUUAUGGUUGGUGUCAGUUUGUUUAAUUGGUACAAAUACCUUAAGCUUCAGAAGGGACAUGCUGGUGGCAGUGACGUGGAAGAGCAUUCAAGAGAUUCUGCAGCUAAAUAUGUAAUUCUUGAGGAGAUGGAUGAACAAGAAGAUGGCAUCUGAAACCAUUAUGCACCAAAUAGUUCAAAGCCAAACAAUGAUCUCUAAAGACCUAUGGGCACAAAAUAAUCUUCCAGCAACAUGCAGUUGGCCUUCACCAUCUCAUCUUUUCGAGAAACACCUGUUUGUGUACCCUAUUGGAAUUGUGGUGUCAAAGUUCUUUCGAAGUUUCUUAGAGUGAACAAAUUUUUGAGAUAUAAUGCACUCCUACGAUCAACAUCACUUAUAUUCUAUAAAAUUAUGUACUUAAACAGUUAAGAGAUUUUGGCAUUUUUUGGAGUUGACAAGGUAUAUGUUGCAGAUCACAAUAGGUUGUAAUAGAUAAUUUUUUUCUCA
Molecule: long non-coding RNA, 557 nt
Organism: Glycine soja
Lineage: Eukaryota; Viridiplantae; Streptophyta; Magnoliopsida; Fabales; Fabaceae
Exons: 3
Source: RefSeq, a predicted model, not a curated record